CACUGCCACAGAUCCAAUUCAGAGCCCUUGAUCAAGCAAUGCUAUAAACCCUAAACUCUCAGAUAUUCAGGAUGCUUAGAUUGGAUUCUACUUCACCUUGGAUAAGAGCAUCUGGAAAAUGUUCACCACUUUAAAUGAGCUUUCUAAGUGCUUAAUUAAGUCAUUUGAGUAAUUGUGAUAUUUUACACUAAUGCCUGUUUAUAUUUACAAGCAGUUUCUAGUGCAGAGAAAAGAAGGAAGUGUGGAUCUUGACAUUGAUAUUACUGAUAUCAAUAACACAUGAGUAAUACAUUACAUUAAUAUUUUUAAUUUAAAUUUAUUUAUGUGAGUCUAUGGUCAUAAAGGUUCUAUAAAACCAAGUUUCCACCGAAUCACCCAAAAAAAAAAACCCAAAACAAACAAAACAAAAAAAAAAAACACCAUGCUGACUAGUUCUAAGUGGAACAGACAGAACCACAUAGUAGGACUCAUUCAAACUCAGACUGAUAAAAUCUUACAAUCUGACUAGCAAUAACAUACCCACAGGCAGCAACGGUCAUCAAUCAACAAAACAUCUCACACACGCAAAGAGAAGAUAUGUAGGAAAUUAUACAAUAUACAAUUUAGGGUACAAAUGCCUGGCCCCCAGGUAGCAUCUUCAAGGAAGUGUUUGAUAAUCUGGUUGAUGUAGAGUAUCUUUUAAAAACGCAUCUAUAAGUCUUAAAGGAUCAUGGUUGUAUCGUUAAGGACACAUUUACAUUAUUUGCACCUCAGAGAACAACAAUGUACCAGCUUUUUCCAGAUUGUACAGUUUGUAUCACCGUUUUAUUCAUAGGUGAACACUAGGUGCGAUGUGGGAAUACACCCACUAUGCACAAACACACAUUUGCUCCACCUGCCUGCAUGUUUUUUGGAGGUGGGAGGAAACCAGAGAACCCUGGGAGACCCUAUAUGGACAGGAGGAAAACAUGUAAAACUCCUCGCAGACAUUCAACCAGAGCUAAGAAUCAAACCAGAGAACCUGGAGCUGUCAGGUGGCAACAUCAGUUGCUGAUUUAGAGAUUUAGAGCAAUAAAUUAAUAUUAUAAAGCUAGCUUGCAAUAAUAAACUGUCACACCCUCAAUCCUAUAGUAUAUAGCCCACUCUGGACCAGAUAAAUCUGCCUCAGAGUAGUAGGACUGAAAUUCAUGUAAUGAACUGCUUGGAAACAAGCGUCAAUUAUUUCCAUCUAACAAACACAGACAUAUCAAAUACACUCACAUGCUUAAUGUCAGAACAAGUCUACUAUAGUGCACAUUAGAAUCAUUAUUAUAAGGUUAAUGAGUUUUAAAACACCAAAUGAAAUACAAUGCUGACAGGGCUAUGAAUAAAAUAUUGAAACUCUAUUGUAUUUGACAAUCAGUGCACUUCCAGAAAUCAGAUAUAAGAUGAUAUCUUAUCAGUACAGUACACAGCUCCAGCACUAAAUGCUAUAUUUGCAUUCCAUACUAAACAAAUUAAUAAUGUGUGCUUGAAUACAGCUGGUAUCUGAGGUUUUAAUUUCCUGUAAUGGCCUCGAUAACUGCUAUUUUAUUCUUGAUUAAAGCAUGUUAGUAACAGUGACAGGGCUGGUAGUGACAGGCCACAUUUUAGGCAAAAAAAGUCAAUAAAUUCCUUGAACCAAUUCAAAAACUUUACAAUGUCUGGUCAGUGUCAGAGAUAAUUUUCUUAAAGCACAAGAUAAGAAAUUCUGGAAAGGGCUUCAAGAAUGUUGCAGAAAUUCUUAUCAUGCCUAAUCUGUGUGUGAUCAAUAAUCAACAGCUGGAACAACCACCAAUGGCUGAAAAACAUAGAUUCCAACAAAAAAAAAUUAAUCCUGCCAAGACUGCAACACCUUUCUGGGAAAAAUCACACACACCCACUCAGAAGACUUUUCAAGACAGAGCAGCCCACCUCUCUGCUAUUAAUACCCACUGAUAAGGUGCUAUCUCUCCCCCGAGUGCCAUGUCUCUUUAUGGGCAAAAGCAGCAUCAAGCCACUGAGUACAGCUCAUCCAUGAACGUCAGCUAAAUCAAUUAGAGCUUUCUUAUCACUACUCUGCCUGUGGUUUUGCUGAGACAUACAUCAUUCACAUGUCCUCACUCAAUAGGCCUUCGGGAAGGAAGUCAAAAGUACAGAAUGAGCAACAAGACCAAACCAAAGUCUAGAGGUCUAGAGUAUGGUGAAACUAGCCACAACUGAGGAAAAGAACAAGGCUUUCCUGCACUGCAUGACCUCUGUAUCAUCUUAAGAACAAGAGAACAUGGUGGAACAAGGAUGAACAUGGACUACGGACUACCUACAACCUUUGAGCAACGUCUUAUCAUUUGCAGGCCUGAUAACGAAGCAUGAAAUGCACUGACGCUUCAUACCUGUGACCUUUCAUCCUCAGGACAAUGAUCUAAAGGAUACACUUAUCAUCUUACACCUUCCAUGUGAUGUAAGGACAAAGUCACAGUCAUUGUUCCUUUUAAAGCUAGCACCUCACAUAUGACAGCCCCCUAAACUGCCUCAUCACAUAAACCAACUGCUUUGAGAAGAUGCCAUGGCUGAAUUGCACUGAAUAAUGCACAAUUCAUCCCCGACUUUGCCGGAGUGAAUGACUGAUCAGAUAUGAAAAUUGUGGGACCAAGAAAGACCAUAUGAAUGUGCAGUGCUCCAAGAUUUUACAGCAUUCAUUCAUUCAUCCUUAUUAACUGCCUGGUCAGGGCCAUGGUAGUUUAAAUUAGGAUACUAGUUUUUUUAUAUUUUGGGAAAUAGAACCAACUAUAUUUGACAGAAAAUAUUGCAGGCAAGUACAAACAAGAAUAAUAACUGUGAGAGUGAGGUUAAAAAAGAAAACAAUUCUAAACACAUGUAGUUGAGACCAAUUAUGAAUGUGAUUGAUGUAGCUGUCAGAAUUCACAGACCAUGCUUCCCAUUUUAACUUCAGCUUAAAAAACGAAUACAAAUAUGGAUAUUUAGAGCACUUAACAGAUACAGAUACAGACAGUGGCAUUGCAUUACAUCUAUUCUAAUCCAUGCAAUCUUUUUUUUCAUGUAUUUAAGAUCAAACUAAUAACCGAAUGCCAAUUUUUACAUGCUUGUUCUGAACAAGUUCGUUUACAAGACUAUUACUGACACAGGACUUGAUUGAUCUGCACUUUUCUCUAGUGGAAUAUCAUAGGUUUUAUGGUUUAAUAUAGACAGUGUAGGUUGGCAUCAAUCCAUGUGCAUGUACAUGUUUAUUAAAAACAUGCAGGUAAAUGGA
Pangasianodon hypophthalmus (striped catfish) is the source of this 3247-nucleotide long non-coding RNA. RefSeq lists it as uncharacterized. The transcript has 3 exons. Lineage: Eukaryota; Metazoa; Chordata; Actinopteri; Siluriformes; Pangasiidae. The record is from RefSeq and is a predicted model, not a curated record.